Long non-coding RNA from Apteryx haastii (Great spotted kiwi), 2020 nucleotides. NCBI's taxonomy places the organism in Eukaryota, Metazoa, Chordata, Aves, Apterygiformes, Apterygidae. The record is from Ensembl.
AAAUUAUUGGAUUUGCAUGCUGACAUUCCUAUUAAAUCUUAUUCCAUUUUACUAUGAAUAAGGAAUGUGAAGUUAUUUGUAAUGGGUGCUGAAGGUUGCAGGACUCAACCAAACAGUGGCAAGAUUGGUCCUUGAGCCUGGAGCCUUCACCACACUUUCCUGUUGCUUGUUAAAAAGGCUUCUGCUAACACAUGUUCUUGGAGUCUCCUCUCAGAUGCAGCACCUCUUACAUAUGUACAAUGAGUCUGUGGCAAUUUAGGGAGGAGCGCUCUCUGUGCUCCUGUGCUGUGAACCCAGGCAAGGUGCUUGUUGCUUGUAGAGUAUCGCAGGCCCUCCUCUUGUUAGUGGGGAUGGAGUGCAUAGGCACUUACAGUGUCACUCAAGCACUGGGUUUCCCAGAAGGUCAGAGAUGAAAAUCAGGGUGGUUGCUUUAUUCUCUCAAAUUAGGGUUAAUGUGUAUUUGGUAUGUUGGAUUUAUUAUUAUGAUGAUGAUGCAUAUCUUUCCAUUAUAAUACAAGACAGCUCUUCUCUUCCUUCCUGGCUUUGUUUUCCUGCUAUCUCAGGAGUCUUAUAGCUUCUCUAUGGCAUUCUGUCCCUUGAAGGAAACUCCUGAUGAGUCCAUGGAGUUGUAUCUUUUUUCUGUUGUCCAAGAGGGCUACCCUUUUACUUCCAAGGACAUUAAUGAAACCUAGCCAAGUGUUUUGUGUACUGUCAUCUCAUCCAAGCUGGAGUCUUUACGUUUCUAUUUACCUACAAUUUGCCAAAAGUAUUGGGCACAGGAUGUCACAAAGUAAUGGCAGAAUUUGGGUCACUUCCUUUCCCAACUUUUCUGAAGGUGAUUUUUUGUCUGUCAUACUCCAUUCUUCCUCUCUUCUCUGGCUAUGUUGCAAUUCACACUGUAUUACCAAUCUCAAUCUCGUUAGCUCUCCAGACACACAGUUUAUAAUAUUGCUGCCUCUAAUGAAAUGUUUGCAUAAUGUUCAGCAUGCUUCAAGCAUUAUUUUUUUUUUCUUUUCAUAAAAUGCAUACCCAUGUGUAGUCAUCCAGAUUUCAGUGACUGGACAAUGGAGAUCUGCUUGUGGGUAGGUCUGGGUAGUCCCUGGAUGUGGAUUGAAAGUGGCAGUGGGUAUCUUGCACUCAGCAUGCCUGCAGCAGCCUGACCUAGCUGAGCUCCCAAUGCCUUUGGGUAAGGUUGAAUGGCUGCAUGGGACUCUCAACAACAUUCAGUUGCAUAGAUCAGAUUGCCAAAACCAACCCAAACCUGGGCUGUAAUAGCAUGGUAAGGACAGCACAGCACUGGAAUGACUACAGGGGAGAUCACACAGACUUUGCAGGUGGAGGUUUUGUAAGAGAGCUUUUAGGAAACAUUUACCAAGCAUUGUGAAAGUGGAAGGGAUCCUGCUGUGAAGCAGGCACACACUGGGCAGCAUUUUGUGCUUCUUUCCAGACCAUGAUGUGAGGAAUGAAGAAUACAAAUGGCCCCCUCCUCUUCAUUUUAACCCUGCCAGAUUUGGCUUUGUUGAGGUGUAGACAGAGUCACUUGUCCUGCCCAAACCUCCAGCAAACUUCACUCCUUCUUCCACCACCCUGCUGAGUAAGAGCUGCCUAGCUAGCAGCACCUUUUCUGCCUCCACUUACCCUCAGCCUAACAUAAAUGGUGUUCCCUAGGUGUCCUGCUUGCUGGUGACUGUUUCUAGAGGAAAAGCAGCUCCUUCUAGCAAAUGUGUGCCAAGAUCCUUAGGGAGACCUAUGGAGCCAUAUGGUUGCUUAUGGAGAAUGUAGAGACAUUUCCUAAACUUCAGUGCUAGGUGUACAGCAUCUGGUGCUGCUAAUUCAGCCAAAAGAGGGUCCCUUUGCUCAAACAUCCAUUUCUGGGUGAUGGGCUGAGUCUCACUUCUAAUUUAGGUAUAAACCACACAGCCUUCCAAUAUCAGCCAAGGUCUGGUAUAUUCCUUAUUAAUUUUGUUUCCCCUGUGAUUUCUUGAACCGCUUUUGGGGGGUAGCCAGGUCUCCCAUUUGG